GUCAGGUGUGACCACUGAACCUUGACUUGGACUGAUCUCUCGGCAAACUAGACUCUCCUGGAUUUCUGGCUUGGCACAGGACAGGAUUCCAACUAAUUCAAGAGCCAAUCAUGGCACAGCACUACGCAUAUAGAAGACCAACAGCGCGACAUAGAUGUCAAGAGCCAUGAUCUAAAAGUCACGCUUUAAAUGCAGUUCUCAUCUAUUAAGUACAAU
Molecule: long non-coding RNA, 216 nt
Organism: Rhineura floridana
Lineage: Eukaryota; Metazoa; Chordata; Lepidosauria; Squamata; Rhineuridae
Exons: 3
Source: RefSeq, a predicted model, not a curated record